GAUGAACGCUGGCGGCGUGCCUAAUACAUGUAAGUCGAGCGAACAGAUGAGGAGCUUGCUCCUCUGACGUUAGCGGCGGACGGGUGAGUAACACGUGGAUAACCUACCUAUAAGACUGGGAUAACUUCGGGAAACCGGAGCUAAUACCGGAUAAUAUAUUGAACCGCAUGGUUCAAUAGUGAAAGACGGUUUUGCUGUCACUUAUAGAUGGAUCCGCGCCGCAUUAGCUAGUUGGUAAGGUAACGGCUUACCAAGGCGACGAUGCGUAGCCGACCUGAGAGGGUGAUCGGCCACACUGGAACUGAGACACGGUCCAGACUCCUACGGGAGGCAGCAGUAGGGAAUCUUCCGCAAUGGGCGAAAGCCUGACGGAGCAACGCCGCGUGAGUGAUGAAGGUCUUCGGAUCGUAAAACUCUGUUAUUAGGGAAGAACAAAUGUGUAAGUAACUAUGCACGUCUUGACGGUACCUAAUCAGAAAGCCACGGCUAACUACGUG
Molecule: ribosomal RNA, 497 nt
Filed under: uncultured bacterium
Lineage: Bacteria
Description: partial 16S ribosomal RNA
Rfam family: Bacterial small subunit ribosomal RNA
Source: RNAcentral